AAUGAACGCUGGCGGCAGGCCUAAAACAUGCAAGUCGAACGCAGUAGCAAUACUGAGUGGCGCACGGGUGCGUAACACGUGGGAAUAUGCCUAUUGGUACGGAACAGCUCCGGGAAACUGGAAUUAAUACCGUAUGGUCCCUUCGGGGUAAAGAUUUAUCGCCAAUAGAUUAGCCCGCGGUGGAUUAGCUAGUUGGUAGGGUAAUGGCCUACCAAGGCGACGAUCCAUAGCUGGUCUGAGAGGACGAUCAGCCACACUGGGACUGAGACACGGCCCAGACUCCUACGGGAGGCAGCAGUUAGGAAUAUUGGACAAUGGGCGCAAGCCUGAUCCAGCCAUGCCGCGUGAGUGAUGAAGGCCUUCGGGUUGUAAAACUCUUUAGCCGACGAAUAUAAUGGCUGUAGUCGGAAAAUAAGCCCCGGCUAACUUCGUGCCAGCAGCCGCGGUAA
This 449-nucleotide ribosomal RNA is filed under the name uncultured bacterium. Its description in RNAcentral is "partial 16S ribosomal RNA". It matches the Rfam family "Bacterial small subunit ribosomal RNA", at positions 29 to 523 of the family's 1533-position model. The record is from RNAcentral.